Molecule: transfer RNA, 73 nt
Filed under: Candidatus Micrarchaeota archaeon CG10_big_fil_rev_8_21_14_0_10_45_29
Lineage: Archaea; Nanobdellati; Microcaldota
Description: tRNA-Trp
Rfam family: tRNA
About the family: Transfer RNA (tRNA) molecules are approximately 80 nucleotides in length. Their secondary structure includes four short double-helical elements and three loops (D, anti-codon, and T loops). Further hydrogen bonds mediate the characteristic L-shaped molecular structure. tRNAs have two regions of fundamental functional importance: the anti-codon, which is responsible for specific mRNA codon recognition, and the 3' end, to which the tRNAs corresponding amino acid is attached (by aminoacyl-tRNA synthetases). tRNAs cope with the degeneracy of the genetic code in two manners: having more than one tRNA (with a specific anti-codon) for a particular amino acid; and 'wobble' base-pairing, i.e. permitting non-standard base-pairing at the 3rd anti-codon position.
Source: RNAcentral
GGGGUCGUGGCGUAACCUGGUAGCGCGGCAGGCUCCAGACCUGCAUGUGGGGGUCCAAAUCCCUCCGAUCCCA